AACUUUUGGCAACGGAUCUCUUGGCUCUCGCAACGAUGAAGAACGCAGCGAAAUGCGAUAAGUAGUGUGAAUUGCAGAAUUCAGUGAAUCAUCGAAUCUUUGAACGCACAUUGCGCUUCCUGGUAUUCCGGGGAGCAUGCUCGUUUCAGAAUCAAUA
Molecule: ribosomal RNA, 157 nt
Filed under: Powellomyces hirtus
Lineage: Eukaryota; Fungi; Chytridiomycota; Chytridiomycetes; Spizellomycetales; Powellomycetaceae
Description: 5.8S ribosomal RNA
Rfam family: 5.8S ribosomal RNA
About the family: 5.8S ribosomal RNA (5.8S rRNA) is a component of the large subunit of the eukaryotic ribosome. It is transcribed by RNA polymerase I as part of the 45S precursor that also contains 18S and 28S rRNA.
Source: RNAcentral